AUGACUCUGUGCUUGCAGAUGACCAGGUGGGAUGAAAUUCUCACCCUUCCAGUUCAGAACCCAACCAUAUUGGAGUUUUCAGCAGCAGAUAUCACGUGGUCCAUGGUGGAGGGCUGGAAGGACUCAAUGGACAGGCUUGCACUCAUUCCGUUUUCUAGGGUGGGUGAUUUUGUCAGAGGAGAAUCAAACAACAAAGCAUGCCCGACAAGAUUCCACGUUGAGGCACGGAGAAGGCGUUCUCCAACCAUGACCUGCAAACCAAAAGUCGACGGGAUACUUGAGUAUAUUCUGUAUUGGUGUUCUUUUGGUCCAGAUGAUUAUAGAAAGGGUGGUGCUGUCCGGCCUAGCAGAUCCUCUUGCGGAAAGAGGAAAACACCCGCUGGUCGCCCUAAUACAAAGAGGGGGUGUGUUUGCCAUUUUAUUGUGAAGCGUUUGAUCGCUGAACCAUCAUUGGCUCUUGUGAUAUAUAACCACAACAAGCAUGUAGAUAAGAAAGGCACACCAUGUCAUGGUCCCAUGGACAAGAUGGCUGUAGGGACGAAGGCAAUGUUUGCACCUUACAUAUCGGAUGAAUUACUUCUUGAAGUUAUGUCUUUGCUCUAUGUUGGUAUUCCUGUCGAGACCAUAAUGCAGAGACAUACUGAAAUGGUUGAAAAGCAAGGAGGACCAUCAAAUCGUGAUGAUCUUCUUACUCACAGAUAUGUUAGGAGGCUGGAAAGAAAAAUGCGGCGUUCUGUUUAUGAACUUGAUGAUGACGAUGCUGUUAGUAUGAACAAAUGGGUUGAAAAUAACCAGGACUGCGUAUUUUUCUAUGAAGAUUUUUCUGAUAAUGAUACCUUUGUCUUGGGCAUUCAGACAGAUUGGCAGCUACAGCAGAUGAUUCAGUAUGGCAACCGCAGUUUACUGGCUUCUGAUUCAAAGUUUGGAACAAACAAGUUAAAGUAUCCUGUACAUAGCAUCCUUGUUUUCGACCAGCAGAAAAAUGCAAUUCCUGUUGCUUGGAUCAUCACUCCCAAUUUUACACAUGGUGAGAUACAUAGAUGGAUGGGUGCUCUAUAUGAUCGAGUUCGUACAAAAGACCCGACGUGGCAGUUGGGUGGCUUCAUUAUUGAUGAUCCCUUGACCGAUAUGCGCACUAUAAGGGAAGUGUUUCAGUGCCCGGUGUUGAUUUCCUUAUGGCGUGUCCGUCACGCUUGGCAUAAAAAUUUGAUGAGCAAGUGUUCAGAUUUUGAGAGGCGUUCAAUGAUGGCUAAACGACUCGGGGAGGCAAUAUCCAGCAUCUGUAGAGGAAAUGGUGAUAUAGAAUUAUUUCAGGCCUUCCUGGAAGAUUUUAUUGAUUGCUCUGGCUUUGUGGACUACUUCAAAGCUCUAUGGCUUCCAAGACUUGGGGCAUGGACGGACAUCUUGAAGACCAACCCGUUGGCUACUGCUGAGGUAGCUUCAGCAAUUGAGAGAUACCAUCACCUGCUAAAACUUCGGCUGUUGAAUGAGGCAGAUGAAAGCAUCUACCAGCGUGCAGACUGGUUGGUUCAUAAGUUGGGUACGAAGGUUCACUCGUACUGCUGGCUGGAUGAAUUUUCUGGGAAGGACAGCUUCUCUCGUUACUGGAGGAGUGAGUGGAAAACUGGUCCAAACCCAUGGCAGCAGGGAUUGCAAAUUCCGGAUUCUGAUAUUGUAAUUGAAGGCAACUGUGCUAGAGUGGUCUGCCAGAAACACAAGGAGAAGUCCCAUGCCAUACUGAACCCAGGUUCUGAGCUUGCAUUGUGUGACUGCAGCUGGUCAAGGAAGGGAAACCUUUGCAAACAUGCAAUGAAGUCGGCAAAGGUUUGCCGUGACAGGGGAUUGGCACCGCCAUCUUUGGCGCUGCUUCGCUACUACCAGGCACUGGCAAAUGUUGUUCAUUGCCCACCCAGUGACUCUGUGAUAUGCGACCAUGCAAUCGCGGUGGCAGUUUCUGUGAGAACACAGUUAGAUGCGUUGCUUUCCGCCACCAACGGCAGUUCUCCAGAUACCUCACUUUUCAAGGGUCCACAAUCAACCAGUGACAAUGAACCCAGAGAACUUGAUGUUCGGGAAGCCAACAUUGAAAAUGGCAGUGAAGUUCCCGCUGACGAGGAUAGCGAUGAGGACAGUCCUGCUUGCAAGAAAAGAAAGCCUAGAGGACCAUCUGAUGAAGACGAAAUCGCUACAGCGACGCAAGUUUCUGAAGCUGAGAGCAGUCAAGCAACUUCUAUACGGGAACUUGAUCGAUCUCAGGAUAGUCCUGCUCCCCAGGAAAGAGUGCGCAGAGAAACUUCUGACGGGUAUGAAGGAACUGCAGUGAUGGAAAUUUCUGAUGACGAGGAAGAAACUGCAGCGGUGCAAAUCACACAACCUUCUGAAAGUGAGAACAGUCAAGCGACUUGUGUGCAGGAAGUUGAUCGCAAUCAGGAUAGUCCUGCUCGCCAGGAAAGAGGGGGCAGAUAA
RNAcentral lists this ribosomal RNA (2466 nucleotides) under Triticum aestivum (bread wheat). RNAcentral's name for it is "partial small subunit ribosomal RNA". Lineage: Eukaryota; Viridiplantae; Streptophyta; Magnoliopsida; Poales; Poaceae. The record is from RNAcentral.